AAAUUGAAGAGUUUGAUCAUGGCUCAGAUUGAACGCUGGCGGCAGGCCUAACACAUGCAAGUCGAACGGUAACAGGAAGCAGCUUGCUGCUUCGCUGACGAGUGGCGGACGGGUGAGUAAUGUCUGGGAAACUGCCUGAUGGAGGGGGAUAACUACUGGAAACGGUGGCUAAUACCGCAUAACGUCGCAAGACCAAAGAGGGGGACCUUCGGGCCUCUUGCCAUCAGAUGUGCCCAGAUGGGAUUAGCUUGUUGGUGAGGUAACGGCUCACCAAGGCGACGAUCCCUAGCUGGUCUGAGAGGAUGACCAGCCACACUGGAACUGAGACACGGUCCAGACUCCUACGGGAGGCAGCAGUGGGGAAUAUUGCACAAUGGGCGCAAGCCUGAUGCAGCCAUGCCGCGUGUAUGAAGAAGGCCUUCGGGUUGUAAAGUACUUUCAGCGGGGAGGAAGGUGUUGCGGUUAAUAACCGCAGCAAUUGACGUUACCCGCAGAAGAAGCACCGGCUAACUCCGUGCCAGCAGCCGCGGUAAUACGGAGGGUGCAAGCGUUAAUCGGAAUUACUGGGCGUAAAGCGCACGCAGGCGGUCUGUCAAGUCGGAUGUGAAAUCCCCGGGCUCAACCUG
RNAcentral lists this ribosomal RNA (626 nucleotides) under Salmonella enterica subsp. enterica serovar Infantis. RNAcentral's name for it is "partial 16S ribosomal RNA". It matches the Rfam family "Bacterial small subunit ribosomal RNA", at positions 1 to 616 of the family's 1533-position model. Lineage: Bacteria; Pseudomonadati; Pseudomonadota; Gammaproteobacteria; Enterobacterales; Enterobacteriaceae. The record is from RNAcentral. RNAcentral also lists the same sequence under 1 other name.